This 1453-nucleotide unclassified non-coding RNA is filed under the name uncultured Neocallimastigales. Its description in RNAcentral is "partial contains small subunit ribosomal RNA, internal transcribed spacer 1, 5.8S ribosomal RNA, internal transcribed spacer 2, and large subunit ribosomal RNA". The stretch from base 675 to 1453 matches the Rfam family "Eukaryotic large subunit ribosomal RNA", at positions 1 to 630 of the family's 3401-position model. The record is from RNAcentral. Lineage: Eukaryota; Fungi; Neocallimastigomycota; Neocallimastigomycetes; Neocallimastigales.
AAGUCGUAACAAGGUUUCCGUAGGUGAACCUGCGGAAGGAUCAUUAAAAAAUUGGACUCCAUUGGUGAGUUCAUUAAUAAUCCCUACCCUUUGUGAAUUUGUUUGUUUGAAUAAUUUUUUUUCCAAAAAAAAUUAUUGAAUGUCUUUCCUUGUUUUGGUGGAGCUUGUAAAGUGAAACCAGGCAGGGGAAUGGCAAACAAUAAUUAUUUUUGAAAAAGACCUUUUUUUAAAAUUAAACUUUUUGUAUUCAUUUGUCUAAAAUUAAUUUUUAUAAUAUAAAAACAACUUUUGACAAUGGAUCUCUUGGUUCUCGCAACGAUGAAGAACGCAGCAAAAUGCGAUAAGUAGUGUGAAUUGCAGAAUACGUGAAUCAUCGAAUCUUCGAACGCAUAUUGCACUUUUUUAGUUUACUAAAAAAGUAUGUCUGUUUGAGUAUCAGUAAAAUAUUCUCAUAAAAAACAUUGUUUUUUUUAUGGUUUUGAGUGUUUUACAACGAUAACAAGUUGUUUCACUUUAAAUUCUUUGUUAUCAAAAAAAUCAUUAAAAGCUAAUUUUAAAGAUUUUUAAAAUUGGAUAAAAUUUUCCCGUAAAAAGGAAUAACCUAAACAAUUUUAAAAAAUUAAAAUUGGUUUGAUUUUUUUUGAAACCCAAAGGAAAAAAAAACGAAAUUAACUUGAUCUCAAAUCAGAUAAGAGUACCCGCUGAACUUAAGCAUAUCAAUAAGCGGAGGAAAAGAAACUAACUAGGAUUCCCUCAGUAACGGCGAGUGAAGCGGGAAGAGCUCAAAUUUGAAAUCUUCAAGGUUUUACCUUGACGAAUUGUAGUUUAAAGAAGUGUUUUCUGUUGGAGUUUUGGUAAAAGUUCUUUGGAAAAGGACAUCAUAGAGGGUGAGAAUCCCGUAUUUGACCAUUAUCUCCAGCUUUGUGAUACACUUUCAAAGAGUCGGAUUGUUUGGGAAUGCAGUCCAAAAUGGGUGGUAAAUUUCAUCUAAAGCUAAAUACUGGCGAGAGACCGAUAGCGAACAAGUACCGUGAGGGAAAGAUGAAAAGAACUUUGAAAAGAGAGUUAAACAGUACGUGAAAUUGUCAAAAGGGAAGCGUUUGACACCAGUGUUGUUUUCUCGAAAAUCAAUUAAAAAAGGCCGGAUUUUGUGUUGUAUUGACUUUAUCAGCUUUCUGCACUUUUUUCUUGUCUUUUUUAAUGCACUUUUCGUUUAACAAGUCAACAUCAAUUUCUUUUGUUGUAAAAGGGUCAUUGGAAGGUGGCUUUCUUUUCGGAGAAAGUGUUUAUAGCCUUUGGCCUCUGCAAUCGGAGAGAUUGAGGUCUGCAGCGUAGAUCCUUCGGGUUAGAUACAUUUGUGCUAAGUUAUAGCCUUUCAUAGACAACUUGUUGACUAUGAUCAGUCAUGUAGCUUACUCGCUUAUGCUAUUUUACCUACGCUUAGGAUGUUGAG